RNAcentral lists this ribosomal RNA (372 nucleotides) under uncultured bacterium. RNAcentral's name for it is "bacterial SSU rRNA". It matches the Rfam family "Bacterial small subunit ribosomal RNA", at positions 28 to 402 of the family's 1533-position model. The record is from RNAcentral.
GAUAAACGCUGGCGGCGUGCCUUAUGCAUGCAAGUCGAACGAGGCUAGGACUUCGGUCCGAAACCUAGUGGCGGACGGGUGAGUAACACGUACGUGACCUGUCCGGAAGUGGGGAAUAACCAGCCGAAAGGUUGGCUAAUACCGCAUAUGGUCACCCCUUGGAAGGGGAUGACCAAAGCCGAAAGGCGCUUCCGGAGGGGCGUGCGGCGGAUUAGCUUGUUGGUGUGGUAACGGCGCACCAAGGCGAUGAUCCGUAGCUGGUCUGAGAGGAUGGUCAGGCCACACUGGGACUGAGACACGGCCCAGACUCCUACGGAGGCAGCAGCAGGGAAUUUUGCGCAAUGGCGAAAGCCUGACGCAGCAACGCCGCGU